AGAGUUUGAUCAUGGCUCAGGACGAACGCUGGCGGCGUGCCUAAUACAUGCAAGUCGAACGCAGUUUCAUUCACCGAGUGCUUGCACUCACCGAAUGAACUGAGUGGCGAACGGGUGAGUAACACGUGGGUAACCUACCCAUCAGUGGGGGAUAACAGUCGGAAACGACUGCUAAUACCGCAUGAUUUCCAACACCGCAUGGUGUUGGAAUAAAAGACGGCCAUGCUGUCGCUGAUGGAUGGACCCGCGGCGUAUUAGCUAGUUGGUGGGGUAAAAGCCUACCAAGGCAAUGAUACGUAGCCGGCCUGAGAGGGUAAUCGGCCAUAUUGGGACUGAGACACGGCCCAAACUCCUACGGGAGGCAGCAGUAGGGAAUCUUCCGCAAUGGACGAAAGUCUGACGGAGCAACGCCGCGUGAGUGAAGAAGGUUUUCGGAUCGUAAAACUCUGUUGUUAGAGAAGAACCACCUCUUGAGUAACUGUAAGAGGUCUGACGGUAUCUAACCAGAAAGCCACGGCUAACUACGUGCCAGCAGCCGCGGUAAUACGUAGGUGGCAAGCGUUGUCCGGAUUUAUUGGGCGUAAAGCGAGUGCAGGCGGUUCCUUAAGUCUGAUGUGAAAGCCCACGGCUUAACCGUGGAGGGUCAUUGGAAACUGGGGAACUUGAGUGCAGAAGAGGAGAGUGGAAUUCCAUGUGUAGCGGUGGAAUGCGUAGAUAUAUGGAGGAACACCAGUGGCGAAGGCGACUCUCUGGUCUGUAACUGACGCUGAGGCUCGAAAGCGUGGGUAGCAAACAGGAUUAGAUACCCUG
RNAcentral lists this ribosomal RNA (810 nucleotides) under uncultured bacterium. RNAcentral's name for it is "bacterial SSU rRNA". It matches the Rfam family "Bacterial small subunit ribosomal RNA", at positions 8 to 789 of the family's 1533-position model. The record is from RNAcentral.